Molecule: transfer RNA, 75 nt
Filed under: Desulfobacterales bacterium
Lineage: Bacteria; Pseudomonadati; Thermodesulfobacteriota; Desulfobacteria; Desulfobacterales
Description: tRNA-Pro
Rfam family: tRNA
About the family: Transfer RNA (tRNA) molecules are approximately 80 nucleotides in length. Their secondary structure includes four short double-helical elements and three loops (D, anti-codon, and T loops).
Source: RNAcentral
CUGGGCGUACGGUAGCGGCAACCGGCGGGCUUUGGGAGUCCGAAGUCGCGGGUUCGAGUCCCGCCGCCCAGACCA